RNAcentral lists this long non-coding RNA (836 nucleotides) under Salmo salar (Atlantic salmon). RNAcentral's name for it is "lncRNA (ENSSSAG00000104301.1)". The record is from RNAcentral. Lineage: Eukaryota; Metazoa; Chordata; Actinopteri; Salmoniformes; Salmonidae.
UGGUGGAGGAGUGGUAGGAGAGGAAAGUUAGGAGAGGAGAGGGAGGAGAGUUGAGGGAGGAGAGGUAGGAGUGUUGAGGGAGGAGAGCUGAUGGGGGAGAGAUAGGGGAGUUGAGGGAGGAGAGUUGAGUGAGGAGAGGAGAGGUAGGAGAGGAGUGGGAGGAGAGUUGAGGGCGGAGAGGUAGGAGAGGAGAGGAAGGAGAGGCAUGAGAGGAGAGGUAGGAGAGUUGAGGGAGGAGAGGUAGGAGAGGUAGGAGAGUUGAGGGAGGAGAGGUAGGAGAGGAGAGGAAGGAGGGUUGAAGGAGGAGAGGUAGGAUAGUUGAGGGAGGAGAGAGGGAGGAGAGGUAGAGGAGUUGAGGGAGAAGAGGUAGGAGUGUUGAGGUAGGAGAGGAAAGGCAGGAGAGGAGAGGAAGGAGAGGUAGGAGAGUUGAGGCAGGAGAGUUGAGGAAGGAGAGGCAUGAGAGGAGAGGCAGGAGAGUUGCGGGAGGAGAGGCAGGAGAGUUGAGGAAGGAGAGGCAUGAGAGGAGAGGCAGGAGAGUUGCGGGAGGAGAGGUAGGAGAGGAACAGUAGGAGAGUGAGAGGAGAGGUAUGAAAGGAGAGGUAGGAGAGGCAUGAGAGGAGAGGUAGGAGAGUUCAGGGAGGAGAGGAGAGGCAUGAGAGGAGAGGUAGAAGAGUUGAGGGAGUAGAGGAGAGGCAUGAGAGGAGAGGUAGGAGAGUUGAGGUAGGAGGGUUGAGGGAGGAGAUGCAUGAGAGGAAAGGCAUGAGAGGAGAGGUAGGAGAGUUGAGGGAGGAGAGGGAGGAGUGUUGAGGGAGGAGAGGAAAGGUAGGAGAAUUGAG